UACGAAGGGGGCUAGCGUUGCUCGGAAUCACUGGGCGUAAAGGGUGCGUAGGCGGGUCUUUAAGUCAGGGGUGAAAUCCUGGAGCUCAACUCCAGAACUGCCUUUGAUACUGAGGAUCUUGAGUUCGGGAGAGGUGAGUGGAACUGCGAGUGUAGAGGUGAAAUUCGUAGAUAUUCGCAAGAACACCAGUGGCGAAGGCGGCUCACUGGCCCGAUACUGACGCUGAGGCACGAAGGCGUGGGGAGCAAACAGG
Molecule: ribosomal RNA, 253 nt
Filed under: uncultured bacterium
Lineage: Bacteria
Description: partial 16S ribosomal RNA
Rfam family: Bacterial small subunit ribosomal RNA
Source: RNAcentral